GAUGAACGCUGGCGGCGUGCCUAAUACAUGCAAGUCGAGCGAACAGACGAGGAGCUUGCUCCUCUGACGUUAGCGGCGGACGGGUGAGUAACACGUGGAUAACCUACCUAUAAGACUGGGAUAACUUCGGGAAACCGGAGCUAAUACCGGAUAAUAUAUUGAACCGCACGGUUCAAUAGUGAAAGACGGUUUUGCUGUCACUUAUAGAUGGAUCCGCGCCGCAUUAGCUAGUUGGUAAGGUAACGGCUUACCAAGGCAACGAUGCGUAGCCGACCUGAGAGGGUGAUCGGCCACACUGGAACUGAGACACGGUCCAGACUCCUACGGGAGGCAGCAGUAGGGAAUCUUCCGCAAUGGGCGAAAGCUUGACGGAGCAACGCCGCGUGAGUGAUGAAGGUCUUCGGAUCGUAAAACUCUGUUAUUAGGGAAGAACAAAUGUGUAAGUAACUAUGCACGUCUUGACGGUACCUAAUCAGAAAGCCACGGCUAACUACGU
Molecule: ribosomal RNA, 496 nt
Filed under: uncultured bacterium
Lineage: Bacteria
Description: partial 16S ribosomal RNA
Rfam family: Bacterial small subunit ribosomal RNA
Source: RNAcentral